GUGGUUUUAGUUUAAUCGAAAAACGCUUGCUUUGCAAGCAAGAAUUCUGAGUUAAAAUCUUAGAAGCUACA
This 71-nucleotide transfer RNA is filed under the name Pseudocentrotus depressus. Its description in RNAcentral is "tRNA-Ala". It matches the Rfam family "tRNA". Rfam says of the family: Transfer RNA (tRNA) molecules are approximately 80 nucleotides in length. Their secondary structure includes four short double-helical elements and three loops (D, anti-codon, and T loops). Lineage: Eukaryota; Metazoa; Echinodermata; Echinoidea; Camarodonta; Echinidae. The record is from RNAcentral.